ACCCAACGGACAGCCGAAAUGGCUCCUUUCUCUCAUCCCAGGUUAUCCUUUGCUCAAUUUCAUGCUUACAACAGCUAUUUAUGUCCUAGUAUCCUACCGGUUCUAUGAUCUAACAAAUUACCUAAAGACAAUCUUUGUGCCCAGUAAAGACAACAACCGCCUUUUACACAAUUUCAUUGCUGGAGCUGCUAUUUCCCUGUGCUUGUAUUGUAUUUCAUUGUUUCUUCUUCAGAUUCCUCAAACUGUCACCUGACAGAUUGAGACACUGACCUUCACGAAAAGAUUUCUUGCUGGGAACCCAAGAAUUCGGAUUCCAGCUAAUAAGCAAGGGUUGGAGCUGAAGGUUUGGUUUGAGAAUCUGGCAUUGGUAAGCCAAUGUUUCCAUUUUCUUCCUCUUUCAGAAGUAUCUUAUGCUCUUGAAAGGCACCUUUGUAAUGGGGAUCUGUUCAGAGAUGAAUAGCAGUUUUAGGCUCAAAGGAGACUGGGAAGGAGGAAGCCUUUUUCUUUUUCUUUUUCUAUUUUCUUUUACUUUUUCUUUAUUGUAGUCUUGGCGAUGGCCAUUUAUCGGUGUUUUUGUUUUUACUCCUGUGAGAAGCUGAAAGAAAUAGGCACUGAAGUUGGUAAAUACAUGUGAUUUGGUUCCUAUGAAAUCCAAUAAAUUCAAAAUUCAAAAUUCAAUAUCAGUGCAUCUGGAGGAAAACACAAAUAGGACAACUUGCUAUUAAGACAAAUUCAACAGUCUUUCUCCUGUCUUUCA
This is a long non-coding RNA of Magnolia sinica, 757 nucleotides long. RefSeq lists it as uncharacterized. The transcript is spliced from 3 exons. The record is from RefSeq and is a predicted model, not a curated record. Lineage: Eukaryota; Viridiplantae; Streptophyta; Magnoliopsida; Magnoliales; Magnoliaceae.